This 425-nucleotide ribosomal RNA is filed under the name uncultured bacterium. RNAcentral describes it as "partial 16S ribosomal RNA". It matches the Rfam family "Bacterial small subunit ribosomal RNA", at positions 354 to 796 of the family's 1533-position model. The record is from RNAcentral.
GUGGGGAAUCUUAGACAAUGGGGGCAACCCUGAUCUAGCCAUGCCGCGUGAGUGAUGAAGGCCUUAGGGUCGUAAAGCUCUUUCGCUGGGGAAGAUAAUGACGGUACCCAGUAAAGAAACCCCGGCUAACUCCGUGCCAGCAGCCGCGGUAAUACGGAGGGGGUUAGCGUUGUUCGGAAUUACUGGGCGUAAAGCGCGCGUAGGCGGAUUGGAAAGUUGGGGGUGAAAUCCCGGGGCUCAACCCUGGAAUGGCCUUCAAAACUCCCAGUCUUGAGGUCGAGAGAGGUGAGGGGAAUUCCGGGUGUAGAGGUGAAAUUCGUAGAUAUUCGGAGGAACACCAGUGGCGAAGGCGGCUCACUGGCUCGAUACUGACGCUGAGGUGCGAAAGCGUGGGGAGCAAACAGGAUUAGAAACCCCAGUAGUCC